This is a long non-coding RNA of Cebus imitator (Panamanian white-faced capuchin), 972 nucleotides long. RefSeq lists it as uncharacterized. The transcript is spliced from 2 exons. Lineage: Eukaryota; Metazoa; Chordata; Mammalia; Primates; Cebidae. The record is from RefSeq and is a predicted model, not a curated record.
CUGGGCAAGAUGGUAAGAGAGCAUGUUUAAUACCAGAGUUAUUUUCCUCUUUGUCACUACCCCCCCACCGUCAACUUCACAGGAGCACCAAUAACCUUCACAGGUGAUAGGAUUCACAUACCUGGGAGGAGUGGAGAAAGGAAGAACCUACCCUAAUACUCCAGUAACAAACCCUGGCAGGGACAGUGGAAGCUGAACCUCCACCGUGAGUAGAUCUCAUCAGCAUCAGCUGCUCCUAGCAUAAAACAGCACAGUUUUCUUCCCAAGACAUCUUUCUGAUCAUUAGUGAUUGCUCCACGGGACUGAGUGGACACAAUUCUAAUCAGUAAAGAAGAACUUGGGAAUUCUUGCUGUCUGAUACCAUGAACUGGAGAGGAAGAAGUUCUGCUUUGGGCAUGUUAGAAACCUCUCAUGUUAACAGGAGUAUGAAAAGAGAGGAAGACAGCUGCUGGAUCUGGAAACUUUCAAAUGCAUAAUGAAACAGAGUAUGAGGUCACAGAAUAAAGUAAAUGGAUUUUAUAAACAGUGGAUCAUUGAAACCACGGUUAAAACUUUAACCAUAUGAACCAAUUAGGCUCAAUGAUCUGCCUGUGAGAUCACUCUCAGUUCUGAAUUGCAAUUUCUACUUAAAACCUAUCUGAUUUACUGAACAGUUUACAUGCGAAAAUAUAUUUAAAUUGCUUAGUACACUAGACCAACAAGAUAUUUAAAAACUUUUCUUAAGAAGAAGACUUUCACUACAUCACUGGUUGUAUAUGUGUUUUUGUCCAGAGUUUGGGCAUUUCCCUUACCCCAAUCUGCUGGAAUUAGGUAUUUUAAAUUUUUUCUCUACCAUCUUGGUUAGCCUAGAAUAUGAAAUCUUAAUGAAUAAGGUUGUACUCAUAUCAUAAAAUAAAAUACGUAUUAUAAAGGGAUAAGCUGUUUAAGCUCCAUUUGUUAAGGUUUCAUGACUGCUUAUGUCUUAAAUUAUAG